Pocillopora verrucosa is the source of this 839-nucleotide non-coding RNA. The record is from RefSeq and is a predicted model, not a curated record. Lineage: Eukaryota; Metazoa; Cnidaria; Anthozoa; Scleractinia; Pocilloporidae.
CACAUCACCAAUUGCCUUAGUAACUCGACUUGCUUCGGGAUACCGGAUGCCUCGUCCCGAUCGAUGUUCGGAAGAACUAUAUGAGCUCAUGAGUUCUUGUUGGAAAGAAAAUCCUUUGAUGAGACCAGCCUUUUCGCAGAUCGCCCAGCAGCUGAAGAAUUUUUUGCGAGAAGUGAAGAGGACAUAUACAAAUAUCACAGAGUUCAACGAUGGAGAAGCUUGAUGAUAUCCUGACGCUGAAGCAAACACCUCAUUUUAUGUAAUUGAUAGUAGGAAGAUAACCACGAGAUCUCAAAUAAGCACAUAGACUCAAAAAUUUAGAAUCAAUUUUUUUCCUUUGUGGAGGAAAGUUUUCCUCACAAUAAGUACUGCAAAUCGUAGCAUAGAAUAAAACGGUGCAUCCUGUAAUACUUACAAUGCUGAAGUGGCCAAGAAAAAUCAUUGCUAUCGCGUAAAUAGACUAGAUUAACGUGGAUUGCAUUAACUCAGAAAAAAUCUAAGCACGCAUCUGAUCUAGCUUAAAACGGGUCCUCCUUAUCAGUGCUGCCGCACGAGUGCUUUCUUCGCUCGCAGGCAGGCUACUCUUCUUCCGUGCUCUAGCCGCUUCCAACGUGCUUUACAACAGAAUAGAACACAGUCGAGGCUUCUUUAUUUGUUAAAUAAAAGAUGGACCUUUUGAAAGGUAAUGACUUUCGAAUAAACAUUUAACCAUAAAUCAGGGUCACAGAGAGUGUAAGGGGCAGAGUGUGACACGCGACACAAGACAGAAAUAAUCUUCAGCAAAAUAACAUCCUAAAAAGUAUCUUUACCAGAGUAAUGAUAAUCAUAUCACCACGUAA